This 128-nucleotide non-coding RNA is filed under the name Helianthus annuus (common sunflower). Lineage: Eukaryota; Viridiplantae; Streptophyta; Magnoliopsida; Asterales; Asteraceae. The record is from RNAcentral.
GAGAGCACAGUACGAUGAAAGUUGUAAGCUGUGUUCGGGGGGGGGGGGGGAGAGGGGGAGUUAUUGUCUAUCGUUGGCCUCUAUGGUAGAAUCAGUCGGGGGACCUGAGAGGCGGUGGUUUACCCUGC